Oncorhynchus tshawytscha (Chinook salmon) is the source of this 711-nucleotide long non-coding RNA. NCBI's taxonomy places the organism in Eukaryota, Metazoa, Chordata, Actinopteri, Salmoniformes, Salmonidae. The record is from Ensembl.
CGGAAGAAAUGUAAUAGGACAGAGGGCAAUUACCAAUGUCCCUGGACAGCGUGGGGGUAAUAUAACUAUGUGUGCUGCCAUCACUCAAAACGGGGUCCUCCAUCACAAUGCCACACUGGGUCCGUACAACACCGGCCAUAUGCUCACUUUUCUGGAUGCAAUUUACACAAUGCUUGUCCCUGAUCCAGAUCAGGAGCCUGAUAGAUUUGUGGUUUUAUGGGACAAUGUUAGUUUUCACCGGGCUGUUCUGGUCCAAAACUGGUUUGCCAACCAUCCACAAUUUGUAGUUUUGUACCUACCCCCAUAUUCACCUUUUCUAAAUCCCAUAGAGGAAUUCUUCUCAGCCUGGCGCUGGAAAGUGUGUGAUCGCCAAACUUAUGCCCGCAUGCUGCUUCUCCAGGCAAUGGAGGACGCAUGUGGGGACAUAGAGGUUGCCUCUGUCCAAGGUUGGAUACGCCAUGCUAGGAGAUACUUCCCUCGAUGUUUGGCAAGAGAAAACGUAUCUUGUGAUGUGGACGAAGUAUUGUGGCCAGACCCAGGCUGGAGAAGAGAUGAAGCGUAGCUUAGCACUGGUGACUGCCCCCCCCCACCAAUUCCUGGACUGACCCCCCGGGACCCCACACACACAAUUGUGUUCUUUACUCUAUUCUAAAGAAUAUACUUUUGGUUUACAUAUGUUUAUGGUUUUGUUGUAUGCUACUGUAUAGAACA